UAGGGAAUCUUCGGCAAUGGACGAAAGUCUGACCGAGCAACGCCGCGUGAGUGAAGAAGGUUUUCGGAUCGUAAAACUCUGUUGUUAGAGAAGAACAAGGACGUUAGUAACUGAACGUCCCCUGACGGUAUCUAACCAGAAAGCCACGGCUAACUACGUGCCAGCAGCCGCGGUAAUACGUAGGUGGCAAGCGUUGUCCGGAUUUAUUGGGCGUAAAGCGAGCGCAGGCGGUUUCUUAAGUCUGAUGUGAAAGCCCCCGGCUCAACCGGGGAGGGUAAUUGGAAACUGGGGGACAUGAGUGCAGAAGAGGAGAGUGGAAUUCCAUGUGUAGCGGUGGGAUGCGUAGAUAUAUGGAGGAACAACAGUGGCGAAGGCGGCCCCCUGGACGAAGACUGACGCUCAGGUGGGAAAGAGUGGGGAGCAAACAGG
RNAcentral lists this ribosomal RNA (429 nucleotides) under Chloroflexota bacterium. RNAcentral describes it as "Chloroflexi bacterium partial 16S ribosomal RNA". It matches the Rfam family "Bacterial small subunit ribosomal RNA", at positions 355 to 776 of the family's 1533-position model. The record is from RNAcentral. Lineage: Bacteria; Bacillati; Chloroflexota.